CCUACGGGAGGCAGCAGUGGGGAAUAUUGCACAAUGGGCGAAAGCCUGAUGCAGCAACGCCGCGUGCGCGAUGAAGGCCUUCGGGUCGUAAAGUUCUUUUCUCAAGGAGGAUUAUGAUGGUAACUUAUGAAUAAGCCUCGGCUAACUACGUGCCAGCAGCCGCGGUCAUACGUAGGGUGCGAGCGUUAUCCGGAAUGACUGGGUGUAAAGGGUGGGGUGGUGGUUUUUUAAGUCAGAGGUUAAAGUCUAGGGUCCAACCGUAGUAAGCCUUUGAAACUGGGGUACUUGAGGGCAGGAGAGGAGAGUGGAAUUCCUAGUGUAGCGGUGAAAUGCGUAGAUAUUAGGAGGAACACCAGUUGCGAAGGCAGCUCUCUGGACUGUAACUGACACUGAGGCACGAAAGCGUGGGGAGCAAACAGGAUUAGAUACCCCAGUAGUC
RNAcentral lists this ribosomal RNA (439 nucleotides) under uncultured bacterium. RNAcentral's name for it is "partial 16S ribosomal RNA". It matches the Rfam family "Bacterial small subunit ribosomal RNA", at positions 338 to 795 of the family's 1533-position model. The record is from RNAcentral.